GUAAUCUACUCGUGUACACACUUCUGUGGUUGUAAAUACAUAUAAAAAAAAUCAAUUUAUACCUAUUUAAUUAACAAUAAAGAAUAUCGAUGAAUCAACUUCAUAGUUAUUUUCCUAUGUCUCUCUUUCAAAACAGAUUAGGAGGGUUAAAUUUCCGUUUAUCUCAAAAUUCGGGGAUUAAAACCAACAAAUUAGCCAAAUUAAACGAAAAAAAACCAAGUAAAUACUAACAUGCUCACACUUCAGUAACCCAAAUUUAAUGUGUUAAGCUAUUUGUGAUAUAGUUAAUGGUUGUCACUACUCAGAUGCUUAAACAGCGUACUUCUUAUAUUUUACGUAUUACGAGUUUCCUUUAAAAUUAUCCAUUUUAAUUAAAAAUGGACAAAUGUAUUAUUAGUAUUAAGCAGUCGCCUACUGCUUGAAAACAUCGUAGAGACUCACCAAAAAAAGUGUAUUCAAUCGAAAAUCCUGGCAAUAUAAACUCCACCGAGGAAUUUUGCCUGACAAGGCAAUUACGAUUUUAGCAGCAAAUUAUAUAUUCACUAUUUACCACAUUAAAUUGGUUCUCAUAUACUACAGUCUACAUAUUACUAUCCAUAACGAUUUCUCUGUUUCCUUUCGUUUUAUAUGGUGUUAAGCAAACGAAAAUGUAUACCUACACACCUUAAUUAAAAUCGAUAUCAAGGGCUAAACGUAUUUUUAUUUUUUUUUUUAAUUUGUUCAGCUUUCUUAUUUAUUUUUAAAGUCAAACGACCUAUUGUAUACAUAUUGUCAUUUUUAUAAUAACA
This is a non-coding RNA of Cinara cedri, 788 nucleotides long. NCBI's taxonomy places the organism in Eukaryota, Metazoa, Arthropoda, Insecta, Hemiptera, Aphididae. The record is from the annotation of a GenBank genome assembly.